Molecule: ribosomal RNA, 404 nt
Filed under: Actinomycetes bacterium
Lineage: Bacteria; Bacillati; Actinomycetota; Actinomycetes
Description: Actinobacteria bacterium partial 16S ribosomal RNA
Rfam family: Bacterial small subunit ribosomal RNA
Source: RNAcentral
UGGGGAAUAUUGGACAAUGGGCGCAAGCCUGAUCCAGCCAUGCCGCGUGAGUGAUGAAGGCCCUAGGGUUGUAAAGCUCUUUCACCGGUGAAGAUAAUGACGGUAACCGGAGAAGAAGCCCCGGCUAACUUCGUGCCAGCAGCCGCGGUAAUACGAAGGGGGCUAGCGUUGUUCGGAUUUACUGGGCGUAAAGCGCACGUAGGCGGACUAUUAAGUCAGGGGUGAAAUCCCGGGGCUCAACCCCGGAACUGCCUUUGAUACUGGUAGUCUUGAGUUCGAGAGAGGUGAGUGGAAUUCCGAGUGUAGAGGUGAAAUUCGUAGAUAUUCGGAGGAACACCAGUGGCGAAGGCGGCUCACUGGUUCGAUACUGACGCUGAGGUGCGAAAGCGUGGGGAGCAAACAGG